UGGUAAUGCCGGAUGCUCCAGUUGAUCGCAUGGUCUUCUGGGAAAGCUUUCGCGGUAUGGGAUGGGGUCGCGUCCUAUCAGCUUGACGGCGGGGUAACGGCCCACCGUGGCUUCGACGGGUAGCCGGCCUGAGAGGGCGACCGGCCACAUUGGGACUGAGAUACGGCCCAGACUCCUACGGGAGGCAGCAGUGGGGAAUAUUGCACAAUGGGCGCAAGCCUGAUGCAGCGACGCCGCGUGAGGGAUGGAGGCCUUCGGGUUGUAAACCUCUUUUAUCGGGGAGCAAGCGAGAGUGAGUUUACCCGUUGAAUAAGCACCGGCUAACUACGUGCCAGCAGCCGCGGUAAUACGUAGGGUGCAAGCGUUAUCCGGAAUUAUUGGGCGUAAAGGGCUCGUAGGCGGUUCGUCGCGUCCGGUGUGAAAGUCCAUCGCUUAACGGUGGAUCCGCGCCGGGUACGGGCGGGCUUGAGUGCGGUAGGGGAGACUGGAAUUCCCGGUGUAACGGUGGAAUGUGUAGAUAUCGGAAAAAAACACCA
RNAcentral lists this ribosomal RNA (536 nucleotides) under Bifidobacterium longum subsp. infantis. Its description in RNAcentral is "bacterial SSU rRNA". It matches the Rfam family "Bacterial small subunit ribosomal RNA", at positions 161 to 711 of the family's 1533-position model. RNAcentral also lists the same sequence under 2 other names. Lineage: Bacteria; Bacillati; Actinomycetota; Actinomycetes; Bifidobacteriales; Bifidobacteriaceae. The record is from RNAcentral.